AGUACACCGUAAUACACAUUC
This 21-nucleotide non-coding RNA is filed under the name Arabidopsis thaliana (thale cress). The record is from RNAcentral. Lineage: Eukaryota; Viridiplantae; Streptophyta; Magnoliopsida; Brassicales; Brassicaceae.